GUUUGUGACGCAUUUUUUCUUUCCGUGUGAAGCUCCAGCUGAAGAUGAAAGGCUGACUUCAGCAGCAUGGAUCAGUGUGAGGACAGAGAAACCACUCUGAGUGGGGAACAGGACAGAGGAACCACUCUGAGUGGGGAACUGGACCACCAGACCAAAGCUCAGAGGAUCCAUCAGAGACCACACUCUCCUGAACCAGAACCCAGUUGUGUGUCCUUCAAGAGUGACCGGUCUAAGGAGUGGCCGCUGUUGUUUCAAAAUCCAGCUUCACCACCA
This is a long non-coding RNA of Perca fluviatilis (European perch), 273 nucleotides long. RefSeq lists it as uncharacterized. NCBI's taxonomy places the organism in Eukaryota, Metazoa, Chordata, Actinopteri, Perciformes, Percidae. The transcript is spliced from 3 exons. The record is from RefSeq and is a predicted model, not a curated record.